RNAcentral lists this ribosomal RNA (301 nucleotides) under uncultured bacterium. Its description in RNAcentral is "partial 16S ribosomal RNA". It matches the Rfam family "Bacterial small subunit ribosomal RNA", at positions 509 to 807 of the family's 1533-position model. The record is from RNAcentral.
CAGCCGCCACGGGAAUACGAAGGGUGCAAGCGUUAAUCGGAAUUACUGGGCGUAAAGCGUGCGUAGGCGGUUUGUUAAGUCUGUUGUGAAAUCCCCGGGCUCAACCUGGGAAUGGCAAUGGAUACUGGCAAGCUAGAGUGUGUCAGAGGAUGGUGGAAUUCCCGGUGUAGCGGUGAAAUGCGUAGAGAUCGGGAGGAACAUCAGUGGCGAAAGCGGCCAUCUGGGACAACACUGACGCUGAGGCACGAAAGCGUGGGGAGCAAACAGGAUUAGAUACCCCCGUAGUCCCUGUCUCUUAUAC